Molecule: ribosomal RNA, 253 nt
Filed under: uncultured bacterium
Lineage: Bacteria
Description: partial 16S ribosomal RNA
Rfam family: Bacterial small subunit ribosomal RNA
Source: RNAcentral
UACGUAGGAUGCUAGCGUUGUCCGGAUUUACUGGGCGUAAAGCGCGCGCAGGCGGCACUGUAAGUAAGGUGUGAAAUCUCCCUGCUCAACGGGGAGGGUGCACUUUAGACUGCAGAGCUAGAGGACGGUAGAGGGGGGUGGAAUUGCUGGUGUAGCGGUGAAAUGCGUAGAUAUCAGGAGGAAUACCGAUGGCGAAGGCAGGUCUCUGGGCUGACACUGACGCUCAUGCACGAAAGCGUGGGGAGCAAACAGG